This 2532-nucleotide long non-coding RNA is filed under the name Ornithorhynchus anatinus (platypus). RNAcentral's name for it is "lncRNA (ENSOANG00000013162.4)". Lineage: Eukaryota; Metazoa; Chordata; Mammalia; Monotremata; Ornithorhynchidae. The record is from RNAcentral.
UGGGCUGGGCUGGACAGUGCUUGGACUGUGCCGGGCUGAGCUAAACUGGGCUGCGCUGGGCUGAACUGGGCUGUGCUGGGCUGUGCUGGUCUGGGCUGAGCUGGGCUGGGCUGGGCUGGGCUGGACUGGGCUGAGCUGGGCUGAACUGGGCUGGGCUGGUCUGGGCUGUGCUGGGCUGUGCUGCGCCGGUCUGGGCUGUGCUGGUCUGGGCUGAGCUGGGCUGGGCUGGGCUGGGCUGGACUGGGCUGAGCUGGGCUGAACUGGGCUGGGCUGGACUGGGCUGGUCUGGGCUGUGCUGGGCUGAACUGGGCUGUGCUGCGCUGGUCUGGGCUGUGGCUCUGCGGUCCCGGGCGAGCGGCUCCGCAGGUGGUGAGCGUAUAUGGCUCCCGGGAUCGCCCUCCCGUCCUGACCGGCUCGGCCAUGCCCCUGCCCCCGCAGCCCCUCCUCUUCCUCCUCCUCCUCCUCCUCCUGCUCCUCCUCGGGACCCUGGGCAGGGCCGGACCCAGAUCCCAGGGGCCGCCAGUGUCCCUGUCCGCGACGCUGCACAAGUGGAGGGAAUACCGGCAGCAGUGUCUGAGGCUCCUGUGGGAGACGCCUUCACCGGCCGCAGGAGUCACCGUUUGCAACCGAACGUUUGACGACUACGCCUGUUGGCCAGAUGGAGUCCCGGGGACCUUUGUCAAUGUUACCUGCCCCUGGUAUCUGCCCUGGGCAAGCAGGGUCUCCCACGGACAGGUUUACCGCUUCUGCACUCUCGAGGGCACGUGGCUGCAGGAGAAGAACGCCACCCUGACCUGGAGGAACCUGACUGAGUGUGAGGACGCCGAAAAGGGGCAAUGGAGUCCCCCCGAGGAGCAGUUUCUGUUUCUCUCCAUCAUCUACACGGUGGGCUACGCCCUCUCCUUCUCCGCCCUGAUCGUCGCCACUGCCAUCCUCCUCCAGUUUAGACACCUGCACUGCACCCGGAACUAUAUCCACCUGAAUCUCUUCACCUCCUUCAUCCUCCGGGCCCUGUCUGUCUUCAUCAAGGACACCGUGCUCAAGUGGAUGUACAACACAGCUACCCAGCAGCACCAGUGGGAGGGCUUCCUUGCCUACCAGGAAUCUCUGGGCUGCCGCUUGGUCUUCCUGAUGAUGCAGUACUGUGUGGCCGCCAACUACUACUGGCUCCUGGUGGAAGGGGUGUACCUGUACACGCUGCUUGUGCUCUCCGUCUUUUCCGAGCAAAGGAUCUUCCGGAUUUAUCUGUGCAUUGGCUGGGGUGUGCCCAUGAUGUUUGUCAUUCCUUGGGGAAUAGUCAAGUACCUCUAUGAAGAUGAAGGCUGCUGGACCAGGAACACAAACAUGAACUACUGGCUGAUCGUCCGGCUCCCCAUCCUCAUCUCCAUAGGGGUGAACUUCCUCAUUUUCAUCCGCGUCAUCUGCAUCAUCAUUUCCAAGCUGCAGGCAAACCUGAUGUGUAAAGCUGAUACCAAAUGCAGACUGGCCAAAUCCACCCUGACCCUCAUCCCACUGCUGGGGACGCAUGAGGUCAUCUUCGCCUUCGUGGUGGAUGAGCACGCCCGGGGGACCCUGCGCUACGUCAAGCUGUUUGCUGAACUCUCCAUCACCUCCUUCCAGGGGCUGAUGGUUGCCAUCCUCUACUGCUUCAUCAACAACGAGGUCCAGGCUGAAUUUCGGAAGAGCUGGGCGCGCUGGAGGCUGGAGCGUUCGUCCAUCGAGAGGGACAGCAGCAUGAAACCCACCCAGUGUCCAGCCGGCAGCCUAAGCAGCGCAGGUAGCGUCUACGCGGCCACUUGCCAGGCCUCCUGCAGCUAAGACUGCCCAUCAUCCCUCUCGCCGGGUCGGAGGAAAAGCAAUUUAACCGGAUUAUCUCACUGGGAGGGGUAAAUUAUCACCUGCUUUGCAGAGGAGGAGUUGGAUUUUCUGCCCGUAAAGGCACAAGGCCUCCAGGUGUCCACAGACAGACCAGCAAAUCAACACAGGUGGCAAACGCGAGGUCAAUGGCUUAUUAGUUGGGUGGGAGGGGAGAAGUCCCGGCUCGGGGAGUCAUUGAUGAAAACUGCCCCGGGGGGUGCAGACGAUAUCUUUGUUCUAACUCUUCCAGGCCACUGGCGUUUGCCCACUUACAAGAGACCUUAAACGGCCUCAUUUUUUUCCAACCCCAGCCAUCGCAGUGCAUUUCCGGGCCCACCUCCUUGGCUGGCAUCCUAUCAUUAUUAUUAAUCGUAUUUAUUGAGCACUUACUGUGUGCAAAGCACUGUAUUAAGUGCUUGGGAGAGUACACUAUGACAUCAAAAACAUUCCCUACCCCCCCCAACGAGCUCACAGUCUAGAGGGGAAGAUAGACAUUAAUAGAAAUAGAUAAAUACUAAAAGGGGGAUCCCUCUCUGAGGCUGGGGAGAUGGUAGAGGCCAAUUACCAGUUACCAAUUCUGGACCAAAAGCACUGGUUGAUGUUGGCGUGAAGGUCACUUUUCUUGCUCUGUAGAUUCCACGCUCUGCCUGCGAACCAUCCUCAGUUUCUAGCAGG